RNAcentral lists this ribosomal RNA (440 nucleotides) under uncultured bacterium. RNAcentral's name for it is "partial 16S ribosomal RNA". It matches the Rfam family "Bacterial small subunit ribosomal RNA", at positions 338 to 795 of the family's 1533-position model. The record is from RNAcentral.
CCUACGGGUGGCUGCAGUGGGGAAUAUUGCACAAUGGGGGAAACCCUGAUGCAGCGACGCCGCGUGAGGGAAGAAGCGCCUCGGCGCGUAAAGCUCUGUCAGCAGGGACGAUAAUGACGGUACCUGAAGACGAAGCCCCGGCUAACUACGUGCAAGCAGCCGCGGCUAUACGUAGGGGGCCAGCGUUAUCCGGAUUUACUGGGUGUAAAGGGAGCGUAGACGGCGGGGCAAGUCCGGAGUGAACGGGCGGGGGCCAACCCCGGGACCGCGCUGGAAACUGCCCGGCUUGAGUUGGGGAGAGGUAAGCGGAAUUCCUGGUGUAGCGGUGAAAUGCGUAGAUAUUAGGAGGAACACCAGCGGCGAAGGCGGCUUACUGGACCGUGACUGACGUUGAGGCUCGAAAGCGUGGGGAGCAAACAGGAUUAGAUACCCUUGUAGUC